GAUUUUUCUCUGCGAAGCAUGGGCAUUAACAUAAACUUCAUGAACUUAUUAUUAUGCGGUUGGAACCCAAAUUAUUGUUUCAAAACCAAUAAUUCCCCAACCACCCCAUGUCCCCAACCCUACUUCCAAAUAUAAUAACUUUCUUCGCCCCCAUUCAUAUUUCAUGGCUAAUCCAGAAAUAGAUGCUCUCUACUGCGAUGUUGUCACAUCCCUUGAAUGGCUUCUUACCUUUUACCAAAUUUGCUGCACAUCACUCCAUCAGUUAUUUACGGAGAAUAAAUAAUUAGUUAAUCUUUUACAAAUAUUGGUGUUUGCACUCAUUUUUGUUCAAAAUUAAGACGACUAAUCAACCAAUCCAACGGGAAAUGGUCUCCAUGCAAAACCUAUUUCUGGUAAACGUUAUAUAUGUAAUCACUAAUCACUUAAAGUUUAAUCUUUAUACUUGAUUUACAAAUGAAUGAGUUUAAUAACUCACUUUUUAUUGCACCAUUUCGUGCGAGUUGUAUAAAAAUAUUUGGAAAAUGAUAAUCAAUUCAUGCAUGUAGGUCACACUCACAUCCUGAAUUUCGUGCGUUCACCCCCAUUUAUCUCCUAAUAAAAGCUGAUAAUUAUGGAAAGAAAGAAAUUGACUCAUGCCAAGAAAAGUAGGAAAGCAAGUGGAUGCUGGUGAGAGCACUCUUUCGGAUUCAGAAAGUCCAUGCAUGCAUACCCCCAUGGAUUGUUGCUGUCCGCGAAGUGGACCUCACCCAAACAAGUAGGAAACCCUAAAACCAAAAAUAUAUCAAUAGAAAACAGUGGUUGACGUUGACCAUCGACCAACCCUUGCAACUACGGUGCUUACGUGUAAAGCCAUGAAUGGUUGUUUUGUGACUCUCAAGGCCCAACGAGUACUCUGCCCUACCAAGUGGCCUUUUCACACUCAUUCUUGGAGGCUUGGAGCAAUGAUGAAAAAUCAUUUGGGUGGAAAAUUUACAUUCAUCUCUUUCUAACAGUCAGGACUCCGUAAAGGAUCGGGAUUUAGAACUUUGGCGGCUUGUACCAAAUUUUUCUGUGGUAAUCAACUUCCUGAUUUAUUAUAUGCAUGAGAAAUAAAAGAGCACUUGUGUCUUGACUUGAAGAGUUGAGCACCAAUCUCCAAUAUUAAUCCGAGUUGGUUGGACCAAUGAGAUUGUGGUCACUCCCAAGUAUGGAGAAGGACUUCCAUGCAAGCGCGAAAAAUGUUAAUGCGUUGGAGUUGAGUGAGGAGAAGGAAGUACUUCCAUGCAAGCGAGAAAAAUGUUAACGCGUCGGAGUUGAGUGAGGAGAAGGACUUCUAUAGUUCCAUGGAAGUGAGGCACAUUAAUUGUAAUGGUUCAUGGCUUCAGGACUUGGAGACUAAUGUCAAUUUGAUAAUUACCUCAUUGAGAGGGCACAAUACGUUAUUUGUGCCAUCAUUCUUACAGUACAAGAAAAAUGGCAGUAGAAUGACCUUUUUUUUAUUUUUUUAUUUUUUGACUGAAGCGAUAGAGUUUCUUUAUCACAAACAGAGCAAUUACAAGGGUGCCAAAUGAGUAUUUAUGCUUUAGUGAUCAAUUUCUUGAUCGGGAGGUAAUUAGCACAAAACGCAUUAGAAUGACAUUUUUGACUGCGUACCAUAUAAUCUCGUCAUAACAGGACAAAUUAAAUUAGAAAUCUCUUAAUGAUAAAGGCUCAUAUAUAUUAAACUUUCCAAAAUACUCACUUAUGAUGAUGAAAAUUUUUGGCUAAAAUUUCUAUAUUGCAAAUACACAUGAAGUAUAGAUGCUUAUCAAUGGAUACUGUCGUCAUAACCUUUUUCGGCUUUUCCACUUCUCACUUCCUCUUCUUAGAAUCUAGGAUUUAGGCAAGCUAGGAUUGUUAUACAUGUUUAACAAACUAGGUCCAAAAAAGCAGUAAAAAUUUAAUGCAUCUCCUUCUUUUCUAUAAAUGUCAAUGGAAGAACAAUCAAACAACUCUACUGGUUUCCUUAGGGACUGUUGGGUAACUAUUUCAUUUUUAAUUUUUGUUCAGUUUUUUUAAAAUAAAAAAAAACUGAAAUCUCAUUUGGUAACUACGUACUUUUAAUUUCAAAGAAAUGAAAACUGAAAUAAAAAAACUGAAAACUACUUUUUUGAGUUUUCAAAGUUUGACUUGUUGAGUUUUUAAUUUCUGAAUUUGAGUUUUCAUUUUUUUUAACUGAAAGUAGUUACCAAAUGAGAUUUCAGCUUAAGUUUGAAAAAGUGAAAACAAGAAUUGAAAACUGAAAAUGAAAUGGUUGUCAAACGGCCCUUACCUCUUUCAAUUUAGUGCCACUUAAUGUGUGUGAAGUAGCUAGUGGUUAGUUGUUGCAUUAAACUUUAAAGGUUAGAUUGUACUUAUAUGUAUAAGAUAUACGAUAAUAAUCAGUGUGACAUGCCUCAAUGUUGUUGAUUGCCUUAAGGAUUAAUCAAUCGGGAUAAUUGAUGUCAAAUAAAAAUACGAGGUUUCAAAUAUGUGAAAAAGUGAAGAAAAGAGGUUGGAAAAACUCUUGUGUAUGAGUAGUGUUACUCGAUAUCAAAUCAUGAGGUUCACCAUGUGGUUCAAUAUUUUAGUUGAUAGAAUGUUGAGUUUCCACAUAUGCGUUAUGAGUUUGAAACUCUCCCAUUCUCUAAAUUAUUGUAACAGUUUUGAAUCCUUCCCUUCCCCUUAAUUUUAUUACUUUGAAUGCAGUCCCUAUCUAUCAAUAUUAUUUGAUUGAAACCUUGUUGGUUUUAAAUUUUUGAUCUAAGUCCUUGAAAUUAAUAUUAUAAUUUAUUUCUAUUUAUAUUACUAUAUUUUUUAAAUUAAAAAUUGAAAUUUAUAGUUGUAUGUUAAUGAGAUUUUAAAUAAAAAUCCAUAAUUUGUGGGAUUAAAAAUAUUAAAAUAUAAGUUAUACUAUUGUGUGUUUGUGUGUGUAAACAUGGGUACAUUCAUCAAAAUUAACAAAAAAAAUUAUUGUACCAAAACAUGGGUACAUUCUUCAAAACUACAAAAAAAAAAAAAAAAGAUACUAGGCUUAAUAACAUUAAUAAAUUUCUUCCAUAAAAUUUGACAUGAGUACAUUCUCAAAUCAAAGAAAAAGAAUGAACCCAUAUAAGUUUAAAAAUGGAUUAGAAAAAAAUUGAAUAGAUUUUAUAUAAAAAAAAAUGGUACAUUUUGUUUGCUAGCAAAAAAUGGUACAUUUUACAUAUAACAAAUUAGUAUAUUUAAGAAUGGGUACAUUUUAAGAUUAAAAAUUUGAAAACAUUUUUACAAAACUAACUUAUUCUGACUUUUUAUUUAUUUUGGAAAUGUUUUGGAUUAAAAAUUAGUUAGGAGUUUAAUAAGGGUAAGAGCAAGGAAGAAAAUAUCGGUGAUAUCGGAAAUAUCGGUAGUCCGAAAACACGGAAAUAUCGAUGGAAAUAUCGGUAAAAUAUCGAUAUCGAUAAAAAUUACAUGGAAACCACGGAAAUUGUAAAAAAACUUGGAAAUUUUUAUUGAAACUUUGUAGGAUGUUUAUUUAGUCAAUUAUCUAUUAGUUUAUCACAAAAA
This 3546-nucleotide long non-coding RNA is filed under the name Malus domestica (apple). RNAcentral's name for it is "long non-coding RNA (MDOM_LNC015707)". Lineage: Eukaryota; Viridiplantae; Streptophyta; Magnoliopsida; Rosales; Rosaceae. The record is from RNAcentral.